CCGCAGCGCCGGCGGCCGCGAUUGUGCCUACUCACCACAGCUUCCUCUUUAAGGGCAUGAGGCUGCCCCUGUUGGAGGCGGUCACCCCUAUGGCCAUCUGCAAGACGGUCAGCUCCACACUAAGAGCAUCGGAAGACCAUGGCAUUUGAGAAGAAAUUUUGGAGCUAAUUCCAAAACACAGUGCAGUAUGACCAGAGACCCUCCUGGGCACAAAUGCCCCUGAAGCGAAUGGUACACUUAGCUGAAACCAUCAGUCGCGCUGGGAAAUACUUCGGCUAGAGCUUCAUGUCCUUAUGCUGAGGAUUCCAGUACUGGACACAGGUCUCCAGAUGAGGUCUCACAAGAAAGGAACAGAGGGGCAGAAUCCUCUCCCUCACCCUACUGGCCAUGCUGCUUUGGAUGCAGCCCAGGACACAGUUGGUCUUCUGGGCUGCGAAUGCACAUUGCCGGCUCAUGUGGAGCUUCUCAUCAACCAGCACCCCCAAAUCCAUCAUGAACAGCCUAUUUCUAGCAAGUCAAUCAGCAGUUUCCAGAUUAGGAACGAAAGAGACAGGAGCGUACCUGUCAAAGGCGAGAGAGUUCCUUAGAAUCUAGCAAGUAUGUCAGACGCAGUGACUCCAGGGCUUAUUUCCUCCCUCUUCAAAAUAGUGCAAACUCUUCCUCAGAACCAUCUGCACCACUGGUGAGAUUUGAAAACCAGAACACAUAAAAAAGACCAUUGAUUAAUGGAUAGUGAGCAAGGGCAUUCUCAAACCCACUGCUCUUAUCUUCAAGCCAACUGUCCAGGAAGCUAGAGCACACAUUUCAUCGGUCUUGCUCCCAAGCGAGAAACACAAAAGCUACAGAAGCUCAGAGCAUUUCUCAGAAGAAAACCAGCUGAUUUCUCGCACAAAUCUAGUGAUAUUCCUUCUCCGAAACUUUGGAUGGACCUUAGUGACAAACAAAUGGAAUGAACAAAGCAGUAACCGAACACCAGGACCAAUAAAUAGCAGUGAAUAUUCAAAUGGAAAUAGUGAACUCGAGCUUCCUAUCUGCUCAUGUCAUGAAAAGUGAUGAUGUUCCACUUAUUGUGAGUGACCUCUCAGUGGCUGGAGAUUUGCAGCACUGACAGUCUGAAUGUGUGCCGGAGUACACUGACACUAACAGAAAAUGCAUGGAUCUCUGUAAGACAGAAGACAUAGUGUUUGUAGGAACAAAGCAAAAAUACCAACACUUGCGAGUAGUCACUGCAAAACACAUUCAGUCUGGUGAUCUGUGCACAUCAUUGUGACAGCAGCAAUAAAUCACAAGCUCUGCAGCUGCUUAGAGGGAAGGUUUCCUGUGAACCUGAAGCCAACAACUAAGGGUUGAGAAAGUAGCCUCAAAAAGAAGCGAUAGGAACCAGUGCAUAUAAAGGACUGAACUGCUCCUGGAAUAGCUGAUUGAUUGUGUCUUUCUAAAGCCGUGGGACUACUUGGCACAGUGGAACAUAAAUCUCGAUAGAAGGCAGAACCAGUAGAGGAUUAGGUGGAUGAGGAUUCACUGCAUCCUAAAACUCUUCAGGUUCCAAACUGAGAUGAGCAGCUUCCUGUCAAAUAAGCCAAUGCUACUGGACAAAUUGACCUUGACAUGACUGCUGUGAUGCCAAAAGUCACCAGCUAACUGGUAACAACCGUUAGUGUAUGGCAUUGGCAGCACUGAGAGUUGACUGGAAUGCUGCUUUACAUUUCUACGUGCGCAUUACUACAUCAGUAGUGUAAAGAUGAUUACAGUGAACUACUUUAGUCUGGAGACUGAGUGACCUCUUGGAACUGUGCCGCAUUUCCAGCACCUGUCAAAUGGUUCUUUCUGUAGGGCAUGAAGACAAUGGAAACACAUUAAAAUACCCAUAUCUGCCAACACAGGCGGGUCCAGAAUACAGAAAUUGGCCCCUGCUGCACAUGCAGUUGAUCAAUAACGGGGAUUGAUUCUGUUCUGUGUGCUGUCAGCCUGCUAUAAAGAGUCCUUUAAUGAGUACGGUGGACGGGAUGGCGCUCUACUGCUGCGUUAGCUGGGGUGUCGAAGCCACAUAGCACCGGCAUCGUCACUUCUCAUCAUGCGUCUAGACAGUAUUCCUUCCACUUUGAUUCCUUUGUCCUAUCAAUCAGCUUUUAUAGCGUGAAGAAGAAAAUUAUUUUAAUGGAAAUAAGAAAUGAUGCUCUUGUUCAUCAUACCCUUCUGUGUACCUUAUAACAGGGUUUAUCAAAAUCAAUCUAUAAAAUUCCACAAUGCGUGGAAAUCCCUAACACAUAAUCCAUUUAAUUGAAUCCACAACAUGCAUGAUUUUAAACAGAUUAUGUUCAUGAAUUAAUGUGCAUAUAUAGCAUGUGUUUUUAUUUGCCUGCUAUCUAGUAGAUUAUUAUUAGCAAUAACAGAUUCUAAAACUAGCUUUGCACAUUUGAUGUGUGCUACUGGGGGAGGGGAAGGAGGAAAGAGUGUAAUAGUGGCUGAGCUAAGGCAGCCCGAGGCAUUUUUCUGCCUACACAAGGCACAGACAGACAGAAUGGAUUGGGGACACUGUUCCAACAGUAUCCUUUACUCUUCUGGAAAUGUGCAGCAUUGGCUUUCUCCUUUUUCUCUAUAUCUACUGUGAUGUUGUCAGGGAGACAGAGUCCUUGACUUGCACCCAGCUGCUGAAGCCAUCGCCCUUUGUGACAGUACUACCCCCCAAACCCUGCACCCACUGGAAGAUUUACAUCUCUUCUUAAAUGUUUAAGUGGUAUAGAAUAAAAAUCUCCCUGUGCUGUCUCUGCAUUUAAUUCAGAGGCAGCCAAAGUUACAUUCCAAAAUGCACGUUACGAAAGACCUGGCUUUGUAAUGUAUUUAUAACCAAUUUUAUUUAUAUUUGUAUGCUUUUAAAGAAAAAAUGAUAGUGUAAAGAGGCCUAAGAAGCCUUUUCAUAAUGCGGCUGUCCAUGAAGUGCAUUCUACAUGUAUUAAAAUCCACAAUGACAUUUGUGAACCGCCUUCGAUUUUCUUGUAACUGCCAUAAAACCAUACCGUAAAUUGAUCUUGAAAAGAUACACUAAAUGGGUGUCUGUUCAUAAGCUAAUGAUGGUAAAAUAUCUGUUGCCCUCUUGAGUAAAUGGAUCUGUAACAGUCAAUUUUAAGAGUAAUAUGGUUUUCAAGAGAUGACACCGACUACAGCUAUUUUA
Molecule: long non-coding RNA, 3172 nt
Organism: Cuculus canorus (common cuckoo)
Lineage: Eukaryota; Metazoa; Chordata; Aves; Cuculiformes; Cuculidae
Exons: 10
Source: RefSeq, a predicted model, not a curated record